This 162-nucleotide ribosomal RNA is filed under the name uncultured bacterium. RNAcentral describes it as "partial 16S rRNA". It matches the Rfam family "Bacterial small subunit ribosomal RNA", at positions 355 to 511 of the family's 1533-position model. The record is from RNAcentral.
UAGGGAAUCUUCCACAAUGGNGAAGCCUGAUGGAGCAACGCCGCGUGUGUGAUGAAGGGUUUCGGCUCGUAAAACACUGUUGUAAGAGAAGAAUGACAUUGAGAGUAACUGUUCAAUGUGUGACGGUAUCUUACCAGAAAGGAAUGGCUAAAUACGUGCCAG